ACCCUUUUUCAUGUAAAUUACCAUUUUAAGCUUUGUAAAAAUCUAUGGAGUCUUGUCAUUUACAGACGACCAUUCUAUCAAAUAAAGUUGAGCUUUUAUCCAAUUGUUUUUACUCUUUUUUAUUUCAGCCAAUAGUUUAAAUUUUAUUAUGAUAAUUUUUUGAAAAUUAAUUUUUUUUUGAAGUUUUUUCCUUAAAACAUAUAAAAGCAAGGACUUUCCAAGGCAAUUAAAAGAAAUAUCAACUACAUUCCGAUGGAUAACAACUUCUUGAGUG
RNAcentral lists this long non-coding RNA (274 nucleotides) under Lathyrus oleraceus (garden pea). RNAcentral describes it as "Pisum sativum (pea) long non-coding RNA (PSAT_LNC032862)". Lineage: Eukaryota; Viridiplantae; Streptophyta; Magnoliopsida; Fabales; Fabaceae. The record is from RNAcentral.